AGCUUUGGUGGACAUAAAGUCGAUGAGGUUACUAAAAUUAUUUUGAAAAAAUUACUAUCAAAUAAAUUAGCUGGCAACUACAGUUGGUUGGGAGCGAAAAAGAAAAUGUCAUUCAGUGGAUUACAGAUAGCAGAAGUUAUUUUAUCUGCUGUAAAACGAAAUAAAUCUUUGGUUGGUGCUACAGAAAAAGAUGUGAUUGAUUCAAUUAAGAAUUGGUUAAGACAUGCUGCUGCAAGAUAUUCAAAUCAAUGCAAGAAGAAUCAGAAUCAAGAAAUACAAUGAAGUGUAUAAGUUACAGAUUCGUAAAAUAAAGAUUGCUAUAAUCAGAAA
Photinus pyralis (common eastern firefly) is the source of this 330-nucleotide long non-coding RNA. RefSeq lists it as uncharacterized. The transcript is spliced from 3 exons. NCBI's taxonomy places the organism in Eukaryota, Metazoa, Arthropoda, Insecta, Coleoptera, Lampyridae. The record is from RefSeq and is a predicted model, not a curated record.